Molecule: unclassified non-coding RNA, 469 nt
Filed under: Bombus terrestris (buff-tailed bumblebee)
Lineage: Eukaryota; Metazoa; Arthropoda; Insecta; Hymenoptera; Apidae
Description: misc RNA ENSBTSG00005029867.1
Source: RNAcentral
AUAAUCGACGUUUUAAAUAAAUGGUUAAUAAAAUACAGGAACUCGUAUACAGGAACUGCGAACGCAAGAACAGAUGACGAUAAUUCGAAUGCGCCACUCAAUGUUAAAGGGUGGGAAACGGAAGGAAGAAUAUUUACGUAUAGAGACGUAGCACUGGUACGACCAGUUUGUUUGACCUCUUGGAUCUAAGCCAAAUAGGAAUUGGCUAUUAACCAAAUCAAUGGUACCUAAAUUACCAGCGCACCACGCGACCCGUUGUACGUAGAGGUAGGUGCUUGGCCCUUGUUACGUGUCGUGUAUUUGAUUAUCUACGUCGUGGUUUAUUACGGGCUAAUAUCGCGACAGCCGCGCAUCUGCCGCUAUCGCUAUGAUAACCAUCAUCAUAGCGCAUAGUUCCGCUUCGUCGUAAAUUUAGAGAAUCUAAUAAAUCGCAUCUUGUUGAUUGUCAAUCAUCUGUCACCCCAUAUAA